This 664-nucleotide ribosomal RNA is filed under the name Epicoccum nigrum. RNAcentral's name for it is "eukaryotic LSU rRNA". The stretch from base 151 to 304 matches the Rfam family "5.8S ribosomal RNA". Lineage: Eukaryota; Fungi; Ascomycota; Dothideomycetes; Pleosporales; Didymellaceae. The record is from RNAcentral.
AUCAUUACCUAGAGUUUGUGGACUUCGGUCUGCUACCUCUUACCCAUGUCUUUUGAGUACCUUCGUUUCCUCGGCGGGUCCGCCCGCCGGUUGGACAACAUUCAAACCCUUUGCAGUUGCAAUCAGCGUCUGAAAAAACUUAAUAGUUACAACUUUCAACAACGGAUCUCUUGGUUCUGGCAUCGAUGAAGAACGCAGCGAAAUGCGAUAAGUAGUGUGAAUUGCAGAAUUCAGUGAAUCAUCGAAUCUUUGAACGCACAUUGCGCCCCUUGGUAUUCCAUGGGGCAUGCCUGUUCGAGCGUCAUUUGUACCUUCAAGCUCUGCUUGGUGUUGGGUGUUUUGUCUCGCCUCCGCGCGCAGACUCGCCUUAAAACAAUUGGCAGCCGGCGUAUUGAUUUCGGAGCGCAGUACAUCUCGCGCUUUGCACUCAUAACGACGACGUCCAAAAGUACAUUUUUACACUCUUGACCUCGGAUCAGGUAGGGAUACCCGCUGAACUUAAGCAUAUCAAUAAGCGGAGGAAAAGAAACCAACAGGGAUUGCCCUAGUAACGGCGAGUGAAGCGGCAACAGCUCAAAUUUGAAAUCUGGCGUCUUUGGCGUCCGAGUUGUAAUUUGCAGAGGGCGCUUUGGCAUUGGCAGCGGUCCAAGUUCCUUGGAACAGG